RNAcentral lists this long non-coding RNA (334 nucleotides) under Homo sapiens (human). RNAcentral describes it as "non-protein coding lnc-ZNF492-2:3". Lineage: Eukaryota; Metazoa; Chordata; Mammalia; Primates; Hominidae. The record is from RNAcentral.
AUGGUCCAGCGUUUGACAUACCAAUGUAGGCAUUCCUACAGUACAGCCUCUAACAAAAGUAGGCUGUUCCGAACCCCUGGUAAUAGAAUACCUUUAUACCAAGAAGGUUGGAAAAGCAUCAAAAUCUGCUUGUGGCAUGUGCCCAGGCAGACUUCGAGGGGUUCGUGCUGUAAGACUUAAAGUUCUUAUGAAAUUGUCCAAAACAAACAAACAUGUCAGCAGGGCCUAUGGUGGUUCCAUGUGUGCUAAAUGUGUUCGUGGCAGGAUCAAGCGUGCUUUCCUUAUUGAGGAGCAGAAAAUCGUUGUGAAAGUGUUGAAGGCACAAGCAGAGUCU